ACCCGACUGCGUAUYUGGGUGARGAUMARCCAGUGCGAGUCGUAURGGACUCCCUARAGUUCCCACAKCAAACUGCKCAGUNWGNCMUGAUCAACUUGCCCUAUGGAGAGCACUAACCUCGGGAAACUGAGGAUAAUGGCUCAUACUUGAUUAGGCUUGGAAAAGUUUUUCAAUGAAAGGCGUAAGAAAAAUGGUUCUUAUGCGCCAUAGGAUAGGAUCGUGCUCGAUUAUGGUAGUUGGUGAGGUAACGGCUCACCAAGCCGAUAAUCGAUAGGGGCCGUGAGAGCGGUUGCCCCGAGAUGGGUACUGAGACAGCGACCCAGGCCUUACGAGGCGCACAGGCGCGAGACCUCCGCAAUACACGCARSRGGVGAGUGUGACGGGGUUACCCAAAGUGUCCUUAUUGGACUGUGGCGGGUGAGUAAUGUUCCCCGCUAGAAAGGAGAGGGCAAGGCUGGUGCCAGCCGCCGCGGUAAAACCAGCUCUUCAAGUGGUCGGGAUAAUUAUUGGGCUUAAAGUGUCCGUAGCCGGUUUAGUAAGUUCCUGGUAAAACCGGGCAGCUUAACUGUCCGUAUGCUAGGAAUACUGCUAUGCUAGAGGGCGGGAGAGGUCUGAGGUACUACAGGGGUAGGGGUGAAAUCUUAUAAUCCUUUGUAGGACCACCAGUGGCGAAAGCGUCAGACUGGAACGCGCCUGACGGUGAGGGACGAAAGCCAGGGGAGCGAACCGGAUUAGAUACCCGGGUAGUCCUGGCCGUAAACGAUGCAUACUAGGCAAUGGUGCGGCCAUGAGCCGCAUCAGUACCGUAGGGAAACCGUUAAGUGUGCCGCCUGGGAAGUACGGUCGCAAGGCUAAAACUUAAAGGAAUUGGCGGGGGAGCACCACAAGGGGUGAAGCUGCGGUUCAAUUGGACUCAACGCCGGGAAACUUACCAGGGGAGACAGCAGAAUGACAGUCAGGUUGACGACCUUACUCGACGAGCUGAGAGGAGGUGCAUGGCCGUCGCCAGUUCGUGCUGUGAGGUAUCCUGUUAAGUCAGGCAACGAACGAGAUCCGCGCCUUUAUUUGCCGUCAAGAAGUCACGACUUCGUUGGGAACACUAAAGGGACCGCCGUCGAUAAGACUGAGGAAGGAGCGGGCAAAGGCAGGUCAGUAUGCCCCGAAACCCCUGGGCUACACGCGGGCUGCAAUGGUGCGAACAAUGGGCUGUAACUCCGAAAGGAGAAACCAAUCCCGAAAUCGCAUCUCA
Molecule: ribosomal RNA, 1249 nt
Filed under: uncultured crenarchaeote
Lineage: Archaea; Thermoproteati; Thermoproteota
Also listed under: 1 other name
Description: bacterial SSU rRNA
Rfam family: Archaeal small subunit ribosomal RNA
Source: RNAcentral